RNAcentral lists this ribosomal RNA (515 nucleotides) under uncultured beta proteobacterium. RNAcentral's name for it is "bacterial SSU rRNA". The stretch from base 75 to 515 matches the Rfam family "Bacterial small subunit ribosomal RNA", at positions 1 to 451 of the family's 1533-position model. The record is from RNAcentral. Lineage: Bacteria; Pseudomonadati; Pseudomonadota; Betaproteobacteria.
ACUAUAGAAUACUCAAGCUAUGCAUCCAACGCGUUGGGAGCUCUCCCAUAUGGUCGACCUGCAGGCGGCCGCGAAUUCACUAGUGAUUGGCUCAGAUUGAACGCUGGCGGCAUGCCUUACACAUGCAAGUCGAACGCGAAAGGGGGGCAACUCCUGAGUAGAGUGGCGCACGGGUGAGUAAUGCAUCGGAACGUGUCCUGUAGCGGGGGAUAACCUAGCGAAAGCUAGGCUAAUACCGCAUACGUCCUACGGGAGAAAGUGGGGGAUCGUAAGACCUCACGCUAUAGGAGCGGCCGAUGCCGGAUUAGCUAGUUGGUGGGGUAAAAGCUCACCAAGGCGACGAUCCGUAGCUGGUCUGAGAGGAUGAUCAGCCACACUGGGACUGAGACACGGCCCAGACUCCUACGGGAGGCAGCAGUGGGGAAUUUUGGACAAUGGGGGAAACCCUGAUCCAGCCAUGCCGCGUGAGUGAAGAAGGCCUUCGGGUUGUAAAGCUCUUUCGGCCGGGACGAAAU